UGCGUAGGCGGUUUAAUAAGUUAGAGGUUAAAUGUCGGGGCUCAACUCCGGCCUGCCUCUAAUACUGUUGGACUAGAGAGUAGAUGCGGUAGGCGGAAUGUAUGGUGUAGCGGUGAAAUGCGUAGAGAUCAUACAGAACACCGAUUGCGAAGGCAGCUUACCAAACUAUAUCUGACGUUGAGGCACGAAAGCGUGGGUAGCAAACAGGAUUAGAUACCCUAGUA
RNAcentral lists this ribosomal RNA (224 nucleotides) under uncultured Alistipes sp. RNAcentral describes it as "partial 16S ribosomal RNA". It matches the Rfam family "Bacterial small subunit ribosomal RNA", at positions 568 to 792 of the family's 1533-position model. Lineage: Bacteria; Pseudomonadati; Bacteroidota; Bacteroidia; Bacteroidales; Rikenellaceae. The record is from RNAcentral.